GUUCAUUAGUGAUCAGACAUUAAUGAUACCAGAAUUUUUAUAAUUAUGGGUGUCAAAAUAAGAUAGGGGUCUAUUUAUGAACUCGUAGGUGUUCUUAUAAUUAAUACCCAAUUAAUCAAUUUAUUAGGUUCCUUAUGCUUGCGAACCAGUUAGAUUCUAUACACAUAUGAAUCUUCCCCAUAUUCGAAUAUCUGAAUGUCAGACUCAAGCUGAUGAUAUAUGAGGUAUGUGCCGUUCCCUUGGAUUAAUCCCAAUCUCUGCCUAAUUGAACAAAAAGUGUCCUUUAAUUAAUAAAGGUUAUUAAACGUUUUUUUAAUUAGGUAUGGUCCUCGCUGUAUCAAUCAAGUCCCAUUGAAAUAUUGAAACGUUGUUCAUACAUCUUUGAAUGACCUUUUAUGUGCUGACAAUAUGUUCUGAAAUGAAGAGAUUUUACCCCUGAUGAAGUCUUGGAACAAGACGAAACGCGUUGGGUUAUUUAUCUAUCUAUUAUCUGAUGUUACCUCCGAAUCUACAAUAAGGAGAAGGAGGAAAUCGUAGUGAUAUAUCUACGCUUUUUCCUCAUCACUACAAACUGAUUGUUCAAAUUGUGCGAGAAAUGUAAAUGUAUCAACUCUGUAUACUUAUGAACAUUUGUGUCGGGUUUAUAUGUUGUUUUAAUAAAUUUUUAUGUUAGUA
Molecule: long non-coding RNA, 675 nt
Organism: Pseudophryne corroboree (corroboree frog)
Lineage: Eukaryota; Metazoa; Chordata; Amphibia; Anura; Myobatrachidae
Exons: 2
Source: RefSeq, a predicted model, not a curated record